CAUGCAAGUCGAGCGGUAGCAGGUCCUUCGGGAUGCUGACGAGCGGCGGACGGGUGAGUAAUGCAUAGGAAUCUGCCCGGUAGUGGGGGAUAACCUGGGGAAACCCAGGCUAAUACCGCAUACGUCCUACGGGAGAAAGGGGGCUYYGGCUCCCGCUAUUGGAUGAGCCUAUGUCGGAUUAGCUAGUUGGUGAGGUAAAGGCUCACCAAGGCGACGAUCCGUAGCUGGUCUGAGAGGAUGAUCAGCCACAUCGGGACUGAGACACGGCCCGAACUCCUACGGGAGGCAGCAGUGGGGAAUAUUGGACAAUGGGGGCAACCCUGAUCCAGCCAUGCCGCGUGUGUGAAGAAGGCCYUCGGGUUGUAAAGCACUUUCAGCGAGGAAGAACGCCURKYGGUUAAUACCCRKUAGGAAAGACAUCACUCGCAGAAGAAGCACCGGCUAACUCCGUGCCAGCAGCCGCGGUAAUACGGAGGGUGCAAGCGUUAAUCGGAAUUACUGGGCGUAAAGCGCGCGUAGGUGGCUUGAUAAGCCGGUUGUGAAAGCCCCGGGCUCAACCUGGGAACGGCAUCCGGAACUGUCAGGCUAGAGUGCAGGAGAGGAAGGUAGAAUUCCCGGUGUAGCGGUGAAAUGCGUAGAGAUCGGGAGGAAUACCAGUGGCGAAGGCGGCCUUCUGGACUGACACUGACACUGAGGUGCGAAAGCGUGGGUAGCAAACAGGAUUAGAUACCCUGGUAGUCCACGCCGUAAACGAUGUCGACCAGCCGUUGGGUGCCUAGCGCACUUUGUGGCGAAGUUAACGCGAUAAGUCGACCGCCUGGGGAGUACGGCCGCAAGGUUAAAACUCAAAUGAAUUGACGGGGGCCCGCACAAGCGGUGGAGCAUGUGGUUUAAUUCGAUGCAACGCGAA
RNAcentral lists this ribosomal RNA (910 nucleotides) under Halomonas sp. RNAcentral's name for it is "bacterial SSU rRNA". The record is from RNAcentral. Lineage: Bacteria; Pseudomonadati; Pseudomonadota; Gammaproteobacteria; Oceanospirillales; Halomonadaceae.